This 420-nucleotide long non-coding RNA is filed under the name Olea europaea (common olive). Its description in RNAcentral is "long non-coding RNA (OEUR_LNC002119)". Lineage: Eukaryota; Viridiplantae; Streptophyta; Magnoliopsida; Lamiales; Oleaceae. The record is from RNAcentral.
AAAGGUUUAAACGCUGUGAUUAUUUUAAGCUCGGGUUUAUAUGUUGUAGGCUUUGAGCAUUGCCCGAGGCCUUUCUCUGAAGGGGAAAGAUGAGGCCCAAAAGACUACUGAACUCGAGGACUCUUCUCGAGUACUGGAGAAGAGGAUAGCUGACUUGGAGGCUGAACGGUUCCACCUCCGGAAGGAGCUCGAGGAUUCGAAAAAUGAUGCCCAUAGAGCUCGAGAAGAGGCUGGAACUGCUAAGGGCGAGGCUGAAGGUUUAAAGCUCGAGAUCGAGCGUUUGAAGGCUGAUUUUGAGGCUCGCCUGGCUGAAGCUCGAGGGGUCACGAUUGAGGACUUUAAAAUGUCCGAGGAGUUUAACGGCCUCAAGGGGGAGUAUGCUAUGGGCUCGUACUUCCAUGCCUUCAAGGAAGCUCGGGC